RNAcentral lists this ribosomal RNA (524 nucleotides) under uncultured bacterium. RNAcentral's name for it is "bacterial SSU rRNA". It matches the Rfam family "Bacterial small subunit ribosomal RNA", at positions 874 to 1411 of the family's 1533-position model. The record is from RNAcentral.
UGGGGAGUACGGUCGCAAGAUUAAAACUCAAAGGAAUAGACGGGGACCCACACAAGCGGUGGAGCAUGUGGUUUAAUUCGACGAUAAGCGAGGAACCUUACCUGGACUUGACAUCCCGAGAAUUUCCCUGAAAAGGGAAAGUGCCGCAAGGAACUCGGUGACAGGUGCUGCAUGGUUGUCGUCAGCUCGUGCCUUGAGGUGUUCGGUUAAGUCCGUGAACGAGCGCAACCCUUGUCCUGUGUUGUAUUUUCACAGGAGACUGCCGGCUUUAAGUCGGAGGAAGGUAAGGAUGACGUCAAAUCAGCAUGGCCCUUAUGUCCAGGGCUACACACGUGCUACAAUGGCAGGUACAAUAGGCAGCAAACCCGCGAGGGGGAGCCAAUCCUCAAAAACCUGUCCUAAGUUCGAAUUGAUGGCUGCAACUCGCCAUCAUGAAGUUGGAAUCGCUAGUAACCGCGUAUCAGCAAUGACGCGGUGAAUAUGUUCCUGGGUCUUGUACUCACCGCCCGUCACGUCAUGAAAGG